RNAcentral lists this ribosomal RNA (554 nucleotides) under Atherina hepsetus (Mediterranean sand smelt). RNAcentral describes it as "partial 16S ribosomal RNA". It matches the Rfam family "Bacterial large subunit ribosomal RNA", at positions 53 to 1063 of the family's 2925-position model. Lineage: Eukaryota; Metazoa; Chordata; Actinopteri; Atheriniformes; Atherinidae. The record is from RNAcentral.
GCCCAAUAGCUAGCCCACCUAACCCACCCAACACUCACACAUAAAUACCCCUAAACACGCUUAAUCGCAUAACUAAAUCAUUCUUCCCCCUAAGUACAGGAGAUGGAAAUGGAUCUCGGCGCAAUAGAGAAAGUACCGCAAGGGAACGCUGAAAAAGAAGUGAAANAAUUCAGAGAAGCACAGAAUAGCAGAGCUCCCCCCUCGUACCUUUUGCAUCAUGUUUUAGCUAGAGCCCCUUGAGCAAAAAGUAUUUUAGUUUACUCUCCCGAAACUACGUGAGCUACUCCAGGACAGCCUAAAAAUAGGGCCAACCCGUCUCUGUGGCAAAAGAGUGGGGAGAGCUUUGAGUAGAGGUGAAAAGCCUACCGAACCUAGUUAUAGCUGGUUUUCUGGGAACUGAAUAGUAGUUCAGCCUCUUAGCUUCUUCUCCCUCCCUAAAGGCACUACCUGCACCGAGGCAUUUGAGAAACUUAGAGAGUUAGUCAAAGGGGGUACAGCCCCUUUGAAACAGGACACAACCUUCUUUAGGAGGAUAAGGAUCAUAUUUAACAAGG